CUCUCUCUUAACUGCUGCGUGGUUGAGAGUGGUAGUGUGCGGUACUUCGGUCCUCGUACUCUCUGGUUCAAUCCCCGCCGGAAACUGAAUGAUGACGCUUCGGCCCAUCCUCUACAGAUUGUGCAUGUUAGGUGUGCUUCGGCCCCG
This is a non-coding RNA of Caenorhabditis elegans, 147 nucleotides long. NCBI's taxonomy places the organism in Eukaryota, Metazoa, Nematoda, Chromadorea, Rhabditida, Rhabditidae. The record is from Ensembl.